RNAcentral lists this ribosomal RNA (450 nucleotides) under Triticum aestivum (bread wheat). RNAcentral's name for it is "partial small subunit ribosomal RNA". Lineage: Eukaryota; Viridiplantae; Streptophyta; Magnoliopsida; Poales; Poaceae. The record is from RNAcentral.
AUGGAUAUUUUGCCACUUCCUUACGCGGUUCCGCAUGAUACAAAUAUCGAAGUUAUCGCUGGAAAUUCUGACACAUUCCUUUCUGGAAACGACACAUCACUGGACUCUUGUGAAUGCAGUUCAAAGAAAGACUUCCUUGCACCGGCAUACACCAUACUGGGCGCCGGGGAGGUGUUCGCCGCCAUUGGCGUGAUCGAGCUCUUCUACGACAAAGCGCCCGACAGCAUGAGGAGUCUGUGCACCGCACUCGCACAGCUCGCUGUCGCAGCGGGGAACUACCUUAACUCGGCCGUGCUGGGCUCCGUCGCGUCCGCCACGGGAUGGAUCCCAGAGGACCUCAACGACGGCCACCUGGACUACUUCUUCUGGCUGAUGGCGGUGCUCGGCGCACUAAACCUGCUGCAGUUCUUGCUCUGCUCUGUUCCGGCCAUGAGGCACACCCGUAGGUAG